UACGGAGGAUCCGAGCGUUAUCCGGAUUUAUUGGGUUUAAAGGGAGCGUAGGUGGAUUGUUAAGUCAGUUGUGAAAGUUUGCGGCUCAACCGUAAAAUUGCAGUUGAAACUGGCAGUCUUGAGUACAGUAGAGGUGGGCGGAAUUCGUGGUGUAGCGGUGAAAUGCUUAGAUAUCACGAAGAACCCCGAUUGCGAAGGCAGCUCACUGGACUGCAACUGACACUGAGGCUCGAAAGUGUGGGUAUCAAACAGG
This 253-nucleotide ribosomal RNA is filed under the name uncultured bacterium. Its description in RNAcentral is "partial 16S ribosomal RNA". It matches the Rfam family "Bacterial small subunit ribosomal RNA", at positions 524 to 776 of the family's 1533-position model. The record is from RNAcentral.